UACGGAGGGUGCAAGCGUUAAUCGGAAUUACUGGGCGUAAAGCGUGCGUAGGCGGUUCGUUAAGUCUGUUGUGAAAGCCCCGGGCUCAACCUGGGAAUGGCAAUGGAUACUGGCGAGCUAGAGUGUGUCAGAGGAUGGUGGAAUUCCCGGUGUAGCGGUGAAAUGCGUAGAGAUCGGGAGGAACACCGGUGGUGUAGACGGCUCUCUGGACCGUAACUGACGCUGAGACACGAAAGCGUGGGUAGCAAACAGG
Molecule: ribosomal RNA, 253 nt
Filed under: uncultured bacterium
Lineage: Bacteria
Description: partial 16S ribosomal RNA
Rfam family: Bacterial small subunit ribosomal RNA
Source: RNAcentral